Molecule: ribosomal RNA, 348 nt
Filed under: Triticum aestivum (bread wheat)
Lineage: Eukaryota; Viridiplantae; Streptophyta; Magnoliopsida; Poales; Poaceae
Description: partial small subunit ribosomal RNA
Source: RNAcentral
UUUACGCGUUCUAUAUGGUCCGUCAUUUAAAUAGCAUUCAAUUUGUAUCCGCCCACAAGUGUUGCCAAUAUAUAUGGUCACUGAUUUGACGGGAUACCAAAUACUUCUAGUACGCUAAUACGAGUGGGAGCGUCUGCCAUAUUAUGGUCGCUUUGGCUAUGUGGAAACGAUUGUGUCUUUAAUGGCAAAAACUUUUCUCAUGUGCAGGUUAUUUAACGUUGUACACACUGGCUUCGUAUAUGGUCUAUGCUACAAACGAAUGGAGUAUCAAUUGUUGUUCAAGGCGAUGUGUCUGCGGUUGGGACGGGUGGCCAGGGAGGUUUUUACCCAACAUGGGUGGCAACGUAA